ACAAUGACUCUCGGCAACGGAUAUCUCGGCUCUUGCAUCGAUGAAGAACGUAGCGAAAUGCGAUACUUGGUGUGAAUUGCAGAAUCCCGUGAACCAUCGAGUCUUUGAACGCAAGUUGCGCCCGAAGCCAUUAGGCUGAGGGCACGCCUGCCUGGGUGUCACAC
RNAcentral lists this ribosomal RNA (164 nucleotides) under Glycine tomentella. Its description in RNAcentral is "5.8S ribosomal RNA". It matches the Rfam family "5.8S ribosomal RNA". From Rfam's summary of the family: 5.8S ribosomal RNA (5.8S rRNA) is a component of the large subunit of the eukaryotic ribosome. The record is from RNAcentral. Lineage: Eukaryota; Viridiplantae; Streptophyta; Magnoliopsida; Fabales; Fabaceae.